RNAcentral lists this ribosomal RNA (1345 nucleotides) under Staphylococcaceae bacterium H17. Its description in RNAcentral is "partial 16S ribosomal RNA". It matches the Rfam family "Bacterial small subunit ribosomal RNA", at positions 75 to 1392 of the family's 1533-position model. The record is from RNAcentral. Lineage: Bacteria; Bacillati; Bacillota; Bacilli; Caryophanales; Staphylococcaceae.
UGUAGCUGUGCUCCUCUGACGUUAGCGGCGGACGGGUGAGUAACACGUGGAUAACCUACCUAUAAGACUGGGAUAACUUCGGGAAACCGGAGCUAAUACCGGAUAAUAUAUUGAACCGCAUGGUUCAAUAGUGAAAGACGGUUUUGCUGUCACUUAUAGAUGGAUCCGCGCCGCAUUAGCUAGUUGGUAAGGUAACGGCUUACCAAGGCAACGAUGCGUAGCCGACCUGAGAGGGUGAUCGGCCACACUGGAACUGAGACACGGUCCAGACUCCUACGGGAGGCAGCAGUAGGGAAUCUUCCGCAAUGGGCGAAAGCCUGACGGAGCAACGCCGCGUGAGUGAUGAAGGUCUUCGGAUCGUAAAACUCUGUUAUUAGGGAAGAACAAAUGUGUAAGUAACUAUGCACGUCUUGACGGUACCUAAUCAGAAAGCCACGGCUAACUACGUGCCAGCAGCCGCGGUAAUACGUAGGUGGCAAGCGUUAUCCGGAAUUAUUGGGCGUAAAGCGCGCGUAGGCGGCUUUUUUAAGUUCUGAUGUGAAAGCCCACGGCUUCAACCCCGGAGGGUGCAUUGGAAACUGGAAAACUUGAGUGCGGGAAGAGGAGAGUGGAAUUCCAUGUGUAGCGGUGAAAUGCGCAGAUAUCUGGAGGAACACCGGUGGCGAAGGCGACUUUCUGGGCCGAAACUGACGCUGAGGAGCGAAAGCGUGGGGAGCGAACAGGAUUAGAUACCCUGGUAGUCCACGCCGUAAACGAUGAGCGCUAGGUGUUGGGAGCAUUCCACGCCCUUAGUGCUGCAGCUAACGCAUUAAGUGCUCCGCCUGGGGAGUACGGCCGCAAGGCUAAAACUCAAAGGAAUUGACGGGGGCCCGCACAAGCGGCGGAGCAUGUGGCUUAAUUCGACGCAACGCGAAGAACCUUACCAAGGCUUGACAUACACCGGAAACGUCUGGAGACAGGCGCCCCCUUGUGGUCGGUGUACAGGUGGUGCAUGGCUGUCGUCAGCUCGUGUCGUGAGAUGUUGGGUUAAGUCCCGCAACGAGCGCAACCCUUGUCCCGUGUUGCCAGCAGGCCCUUGUGGUGCUGGGGACUCACGGGAGACCGCCGGGGUCAACUCGGAGGAAGGUGGGGACGACGUCAAGUCAUCAUGCCCCUUAUGUCUUGGGCUGCACACGUGCUACAAUGGCCGGUACAAUGAGCUGCGAUACCGUGAGGUGGAGCGAAUCUCAAAAAGCCGGUCUCAGUUCGGAUUGGGGUCUGCAACUCGACCCCAUGAAGUCGGAGUCGCUAGUAAUCGCAGAUCAGCAUUGCUGCGGUGAAUACGUUCCCGGGCCGCUACACACCG